Molecule: long non-coding RNA, 1056 nt
Organism: Gadus macrocephalus (Pacific cod)
Lineage: Eukaryota; Metazoa; Chordata; Actinopteri; Gadiformes; Gadidae
Exons: 3
Source: RefSeq, a predicted model, not a curated record
GGUCAGGGGUUUAUGUUUUGAUUAUGGAGCAGUUCGCGCCAUUGGGCUCAGAAUGUCACUCACCCACGCAAGUUACUGCGUUUGCGGUUUUUUGGUCAUGGGCUGUCACAUAUAGGGUCCAGCUGACAGAGGUUGCUUUAAAACGUUAGUUUGGCAGAACCCAGUCGGAGGAGUCGCAAUAAGAGACUACAACAACGGCUAACAAAUAUGCCCCGAGUUUCAACCAACCGACACAAAGGCUACAAGUACCAAGCCGAACACCUGGGAAUUAUAUCUGGUCAAAGUUGUACGCGAAAUGGAUUAAAUGGACGGGUUAAUUUGGACAACAGAAACUAUUAAUGUGGCAACAGGAGCCCAAAUGCCUUAAAAGCACGACAAUUUACUUGGAAACCGCGACAUGCCAAUCUUGAACGGAGCGUUUGUUUUCUAGCGUCGUACGGGAAGUCGAGUGUCCCGCUCCGGCCACCACUUAUGAUUCUUGACCCCGGACCACCAGCAGCGUGCUUGGGCGCAGAGUAGGCUACUGCGUGAAGGCCGCGCCGCCGAAUAUACAUCCGGUAUUUUGUGCGCAUUUGGGACGGCAGGUGGAUAGGCAGGUGCCACGGCGUGCGUAAAGGCAACGGGACUGUCAUACCGCCGUAUGCUCUGGGCUCUGCAAGCGCUGGCCAAGGAAUGUAUCGUCGAGGUCCUCAUCUUGGAACCGUUCCUGGCCAGCCUCAGAGCGUUGUUGUGGUUAGGAUUCCCCCCACAGCUAAGGAGGCUUACCAAUGGACAUACCUUCUGGAACACGCGCAACUGAGACUUCGUUCAUGACAGCCUGAGUUCAGAGGGGCUUUACCUACUACCGAGGACUAACACUCCGUGCCCGGCUCUUCAAAGCCCGGCUCCUGUCAUACGGAGAACCAGAGUUUGCACAGCGCUUUGGUGGUAUAAGUGUAUGGUGAAACCUUGCUGUGCCCUCGAAAAAAAAGCCCUAGAUCUAAAUCCAUAAAAGCCUAGACGCUGUCUAAACCAUUACCGUUUCCGGCCCAAGAAACGGCUCCGUUCAGGAGCAGA